Unclassified non-coding RNA from Otolemur garnettii (small-eared galago), 92 nucleotides. It matches the Rfam family "Y RNA". From Rfam's summary of the family: Y RNAs are components of the Ro ribonucleoprotein particle (Ro RNP), in association with Ro60 and La proteins. The Y RNAs and Ro60 and La proteins are well conserved, but the function of the Ro RNP is not known. NCBI's taxonomy places the organism in Eukaryota, Metazoa, Chordata, Mammalia, Primates, Galagidae. The record is from Ensembl.
GGCUGGUCGGAUGGUGGUGGGUUAUCAGAGCUUAUUAUUAGUGUCACUAAAGUUGGUGUUCAACCCCCCAUUGCUAAAUUUGACUGCCUUCA